This 795-nucleotide ribosomal RNA is filed under the name bacterium S1cc50. RNAcentral's name for it is "bacterial SSU rRNA". It matches the Rfam family "Bacterial small subunit ribosomal RNA", at positions 676 to 1472 of the family's 1533-position model. The record is from RNAcentral.
UAGCGGUAAAAUGCGUAGAGAUUUGAAGGAAUACCGGUGGCGAAGGCGGCCCCCUGGACAAAGACUGACGCUCAGAUGCGAAAGCGUGGGGAGCAAACAGGAUUAGAUACCCUGGUAGUCCACGCCGUAAACGAUGUCUACUUGGAGGUUGGGACCUUGAGUUCUGGCUUUCGGAGCUAACGCGUUAAGUAGACCGCCUGGGGAGUACGGUCGCAAGAUUAAAACUCAAAUGAAUUGACGGGGGCCCGCACAAGCGGUGGAGCAUGUGGUUUAAUUCGAUGCAACGCGAAGAACCUUACCUACUCUUGACAUCCACGGAAUCCUUUAGAGAUAGAGGAGUGCCUUCGGGAACCGUGAGACAGGUGCUGCAUGGCUGUCGUCAGCUCGUGUUGUGAAAUGUUGGGUUAAGUCCCGCAACGAGCGCAACCCUUAUCCUUGUUUGCCAGCACUUCGGGUGGGAACUCCAGGGAGACUGCCGGUGAUAAACCGGAGGAAGGUGGGGACGACGUCAAGUCAUCAUGGCCCUUACGAGUAGGGCUACACACGUGCUACAAUGGCAUAUACAGAGGGCGGCCAGCCAGCGAUGGUGAGCGAAUCCCAGAAAGUAUGUCGUAGUCCGGAUUGGAGUCUGCAACUCGACUCCAUGAAGUCGGAAUCGCUAGUAAUCGUGGAUCAGAAUGCCACGGUGAAUACGUUCCCGGGCCUUGUACACACCGCCCGUCACACCAUGGGAGUGGGCUGCACCAGAAGUAGAUAGCUUAACCUUCGGGAGGGCGUUUACCACGGUGUGUUCAU